GUGGCCUCGAUGAAAGUGCUUACUGCAUUUUUUCUUACACAUGUGUUUUUCUUUUUUUGAAAACUUUGCUUUGGUAGGCCUUCUAUAUGGGGCCUGCCAGAGAUUAAACUCAACCAAAUUUUAUUUAAUGUCAACCGAUUAUUUAAUAGUCAAAACUUUCAACAACGGAUCUCUUGGUUCUCGCAUCGAUGAAGAACGCAGCGAAAUGCGAUAAGUAAUAUGAAUUGCAGAUAUUCGUGAAUCAUCGAAUCUUUGAACGCACAUUGCGCCCUUUGGUAUUCCAAAGGGCAUGCCUGUUUGAGCGUCAUUUCUCCCUCAAACCCUCGGGUUUGGUGUUGAGCGAUACGCUGGGUUUGCUUGAAAGAAAGGCGGAGUAUAAACUAAUGGAUAGGUUUUUUCCACUCAUUGGUACAAACUCCAAAACUUCUUCCAAAUUCGACCUCAAAUCAGGUAGGACUACCCGCUGAACUUAAGCAUAUCAAUAAGCGGAGGAA
This 494-nucleotide ribosomal RNA is filed under the name Lodderomyces parapsilosis. RNAcentral describes it as "eukaryotic LSU rRNA". The stretch from base 154 to 307 matches the Rfam family "5.8S ribosomal RNA". Lineage: Eukaryota; Fungi; Ascomycota; Pichiomycetes; Serinales; Debaryomycetaceae. The record is from RNAcentral.